Molecule: ribosomal RNA, 433 nt
Filed under: uncultured bacterium
Lineage: Bacteria
Description: partial 16S ribosomal RNA
Rfam family: Bacterial small subunit ribosomal RNA
Source: RNAcentral
AACGAACGCUGGCGGCAGGCCUAACACAUGCAAGUCGAGCGAGGACUUCGGUCCUAGCGGCGGACGGGUGAGUAACGCGUGGGAACGUGCCCUUUGCUUCGGAAUAGCCCUGGGAAACUGGGAGUAAUACCGGAUGAGCCCUUUGGGGGAAAGAUUUAUCGGCGAAGGAUCGGCCCGCGUUGGAUUAGGUAGUUGGUGGGGUAAUGGCCUACCAAGCCGACGAUCCAUAGCUGGUUUGAGAGGAUGAUCAGCCACACUGGGACUGAGACACGGCCCAGACUCCUACGGGAGGCAGCAGUGGGGAAUCUUAGACAAUGGGGGAAACCCUGAUCUAGCCAUGCCGCGUGAGCGAUGAAGGCCUUAGGGUUGUAAAGCUCUUUCAGCUGGGAAGAUAAUGACAGUACCAGCAGAAGAAGCCCCGGCUAACUCCGUG